GUCCACGCCGUAAACGAUGGGCACUAGGUGCUUAGGGGAGCGACCCUCUGAGUACCGGCGCUAACGCAUGAAGUGCCCCGCCUGGGGAGUACGGCCGCAAGGCUGAAACUCAAAGGAAUUGACGGGGGCCCGCACAAGCGGUGGAGCAUGUGGUUUAAUUCGACGCAACGCGCAGAACCUUACCUAGGCUUGACAUGCAUGGGAAAGCUGGUGGAAACACUGGCCCCUCUUCGGAGCCCAUGCACAGGUGCUGCAUGGCUGUCGU
RNAcentral lists this ribosomal RNA (265 nucleotides) under uncultured bacterium. RNAcentral describes it as "partial 16S ribosomal RNA". It matches the Rfam family "Bacterial small subunit ribosomal RNA", at positions 793 to 1055 of the family's 1533-position model. The record is from RNAcentral.